AGAGAGAGAGAGAGAGAGAGAGAGAGAGAUUGGAGAAAAAACUUUUCCGAACUUCGAAUUCCGCCUUCAGUUGCAGACUCGAGAGUCACCGUGAUCAGUACAGAAAGGACUUUGGAUUCGCUGUAACCGAAGUCACAGGCAGUUGUGAACUGUAUGUACUACAUGGGUACGAGGAUCCUCUAGAAGAGCUUCAGGUUCUCACUGUGUGGCUCUGCUUCAAAGAGGACUCCCACAAAGGGCCUGGAUGACGCAGCACAACAAUGACAGGACCAGUGAGACCCAGUAGGAGGGUUAUGCUACAAUAUCUAAAGGUUGGCUCUAGCUGGGAGUUACUUCUGAUUCCUGAAUUCACUCUGUCUCCCAAGGUAUGUAUGUCUUCAAAUAUUGAUUGGUAGCACCUAAAUCUGGGCUUGAAGCUCAGGAUGGGUGUGUCCCUGACUUAUCCGCUGGCCAAGUUGUCUCCUUGUAGUAUUUAUAAAUGCCUGGGUAAGUUGUUCAGUGACCACCAUAAAAAAAAUCUCUCACUUCAGAAAUGUCAAUUCAAGGUUUAUCCUGGGCUGUCUCCAAAAUGCUCUGGUGAUUUGAUUGAACACCUUCAAGCAGGAGGCAGUAUAUUAACCACAAACAUCAAAUAAUACCCUGCAUUGCAAUAGAAGCUAUUAUUAGACCCCUACUAAAUGUGGACAAAAUGGAGAAUAUUCCAGGGAAACCUAUUUAGUUGUCUCCCUUAUGUUUAGGAUUAACAUUAUUAGGUAAGAGAAAAACAAAACAAAACUAUGUUACAGUGGCCACGGCUGAGCAUAGAGAACAAAUGCCACAUCAAAUAUUUGCUUUCCAUGGGUGGUGUGAAGUUCUGUUAUCUCUGAACACACAGCCUUGAGCUGCUGAAGAUCUAAAUGGUGGUUCUCAACUUUUCCUAAUGCUGCGACCCUUUAAUACAGUUCCUCAUGCUGUGGGGACCCCCAACCAUAAAGUUACUUCAUUGAUACUUCAAAACUGCCAUUUUGCUACUGUUAUGAGUCAUAAUAUAAAUAUCUGGUAUGCAGGAUAUCUGAUGUUCAACCCCCAAAGGGGUCGUGACCCACCGGUUGAGAACUGAGCAUCUAAAAGGCGCUCUCUGCUCUUUGCCUUUGUUCCUUAUUCAUUGAUAUCAGUUUACCCCGUGAGGGUAUUUGUUCUGAUAUUUACUGAAAAACUUUCUCCCUGUCAGGUACAAACCUCACACUCUUGUUUUACACCAACUCAGAGAAGUAUUAUCCUUAUUUAUCAAAGUUGUUAUGUCUUCAGAUUGUAGCUCUAUUUUGAUAGUGGUGGUGACGUCAGCCAUGUUGUCAUUGGCAUGGAAUAAGACAUUUCUGACCCUCUAUUUCCUUAGGGUCUGUACACUAGUAUUCACCCACUUAAACAAAUGUAUUCAAUGUUUGUUUGUUUGUUUUUGUUUUUACAGACGGGGU
Onychomys torridus (southern grasshopper mouse) is the source of this 1454-nucleotide long non-coding RNA. RefSeq lists it as uncharacterized. Lineage: Eukaryota; Metazoa; Chordata; Mammalia; Rodentia; Cricetidae. The record is from RefSeq and is a predicted model, not a curated record. The transcript has 5 exons.